GGUGAUGGGUCAGCUGUCCAAACUUAAGUCUCAUAUAGAGAGCUGAGCAGCUCUUCAGACCAGAAUGGAAGCUACAGCUGUAGCUUCCUCCUGCUGUCUGGAUCAUAAAGUGGCAGAGGCCUGUUGCUGUUCUGAUAGUGUGGCUAUUUCUGGAAGAAAGUAAGCUGGCCUCACCUAGGGCUGAUCCUCUGCACCUAUUUAGCAGCAUAAACCUAGCAGAUAGCUUGUUACGGAGAGCUCCAAUUCCAGAGGUCACAGCUGUUUUUACAUCUACAGCUGAGGCCAAAAGUAUUGCUGAAGAUUUCCAGUUUCAGCAGCCAGAGCAUCUCUUGGCGGAGUCAUGUUUAAGCCAGUAUCUACUCACCUUAAAUAAUAACAUAAAAUAUUCACGAGGUAGCAGCUUCUCUUUCUGUGUUUGGUUAGUAUUAAUACCUGCUCCCAAGUUACACUGUUUUGCGUCUUGAAAGCGUUACUAGCAAAACAAACAUUUGCUAUGGGAACAACUGGUGUUCAGUGUUAGCUAAAAUGACAAAGGAGAACAUUUACUCAGUAACUGAGAUGGGAUAGAAUGUGGAUACAGAGAUGACAGAAGUUAGAUUUUUGAAGUGUGAUAUAACACUUCAUCAAGCAGUGGAUUUUUGGGUCUCUUCCCUUUGGUUAGACGGAAGUUCACAUACUCUUACAGUGUGUUUUAUGUUUUUCUGUAGCUUGGAACAAGACCCUGCCUUGCUGGUUCCUGAAGGGACAGUGUCAGCCUCCCAAGAUCCUUUUCAGCAAAGUUCCAUGAGUUACUCUUAAGCCCCCAACCCAGCAUCCCUGCCCCCUGCUGAAGGCCGACAUCGCUGGGAGCACUGCAGCGCGCGGAAAACCACUUAAAGCGCUACAGCUUCUUCCCCCGCCUUUCUGUGAGCUUUUGGGUGAGGUGACAAAAUGCGAAGAAUUUACUCCUGAAUGGUGGUGGAAGACGCCUCUACAGCAGUGGGUUUGAUAGCUAAUGCCCCACCAGGUGCACAGAUCAGCUUCCUGUCCUCAAAUUAUGCUUCCAGGGGCUCUCUAGAGUACACUGCGUUGGUCACAUUUGGGCAUCAUCCACAAGUCCCAGGGGCCUUGUGCUCAUAAACUGGAAUUACUGUCAGCUGACUGUAGCUGCGGGAAUUGGAUAGAUGCCUUGGCUGCUAUGACUCUGCACAUCAGCAUUUUGUUCUGACACCUUCAACUGGUUUUGUUGUUCUGUGAAUCCCACUCAUGGUGAUUAGCCAGUAAUUCCCAGGGCAGCAGGAACAGGAAGGUUUAGGGAAUGUUAGCUAAAGGGAGACUAAGUCAUCUCUCUUGGACCUGCUACCUGACUCCAGAGGUCAAACUGAGAUAACAGGAUGCCUUGAAGGAUAUUGCAGUUCUGCAGAUGGCUUUGGUGGCAAAAGCCCAAAAGUGUCAAUAAAGCUUCCCUGACCUCAUUAAGGCAUACCCUGCUUACUGGUGGGCAGGGUUCAUAAACCUGAAUGAGCUGCUGGGUCCUUUGAACCAUCUGUGGAUGACGAUGGCCUGAUUACUAGAACUCCCUCAAAAGCAGCACUGAAGCAGGAGGAUUUCAUUAUUUUGCCCGAGGUAGAUAGUAAGAAAUGAUCCGUGGCACAUCCUAGCACAUAACCUAGGGCAACACAGAUUUAGGGCAGAAGAUUAAUGGCUUGAAAUCAGAAGCCAUCUUAGAACUGUUCAGUGAAUUUUUAGCAUGUUUUUAUUCCUUGUGUGCUGCAGAUAACCGCUACAAGCCUGCGAUUCCCAUGACAUGGGAGAAACACCACCCACCUCCCUCACAGGUUCACUGCGUGGCGUCGCUGGCAGACAUCUCGCAGAGAUGCAGGAUACAGGGGCAGGAAGGAUUUGCAAACAGCACAUUUAGUUUUGAUAACAUCUGGGUUUUGUUCUGUUUGCUUUAUUUCAAUUUCUUUUAACUGCACAAGAAAAGGAUAAGCAAACCAGCACAGGGAAAAUAAAUUCAGCAAAACCAUCAGGAUGCCACCAGGAAAUAUCAGCCCUGCUACUGCCUGCUGCUGAGUCAUUUAUGCUCGGCUGAGUUCCUCCGAGUCAAAGGGCUGCCUCUAUCUUGGACUUUCUUCUACAUCAGACCGAUUUGCUCUGGGACGAAGGCACCACAGUGAAUCCUAGUGACAAGAAGGGGUAGGAAAUUUUGUAACCUGCUUUUAAUUAGCUGUGUAGUGACUGAGCUGAUGAAUCCUCACUUGCUCUAGGCCAGCGACUUCUGUACUGCAGUGAUUGCAUUCUGCUCUGGAUAGCAGGAAGAAACGUGCAGGUUUGAAUGCAGUCGAACUCCCGUGGGAGAGCGCACUUUUGUUCAUUUGGAGGACUGUAUGGCAUUGUACGGGGGAUAUUGCAGGGAGAGAAGGAAAUAAGAGUGGUGCUGUAAGGAUAUUUCUGCAUCCUUCCCAAAGGAGAAAGGAAAAGAUUAUAGAUCCUUCCAAAACAUAUUAUGCUAAUAAAGGAAAAAGUACUACAAGCAGAAGUAUCUAUCCAAGCAGCCCAGGAAGCCAUCCACCACUACCAUCCAGGUAGGGAAGUGCAUAAAGGGAGUGAAAAUACAUGGAUCCUGUGUUUCUGCACUCAGAGCAACAUUAAUUGCAAGCUAUCAACUUACCUUCAAUAAAUUUGCUUAAUCUUUUUAUGAACUCAUUUAUCCUCCCUUAAUGUCCCAAGGAAAUGAGUUACAAAAUGUAAUUGCCUGUGACUUUUUUUCAACGUGUUACUUAAUAGGAUUUUAUUUUACUUGUAUUUAUAAUCCCAGUUCUAAUACUACUAGUGUAAAUGAAACCACUUUCAGUGGCAUGAAGGGUUCAAGACCAACAUUACAUUGCUGAAAUGAAGCUUGCACAUAUAAUAUACCUGAUUUCUGUCAAAUUCAUUCAUGGCAUCCUUGACACCCUGGAGGUAGGUAACGCCAGUAAUCCAGGUGUAGCGGGGUAUGUAUCCAGUGUAACCUGCAGAUGGAGAGAGAAUAUUUUCUGCUUAAGAACAUAUGUAAGGAUCAACCAAUUUGCAAGUGGAAGAGACUGGGAUAAAUAUAAGAUCUUGGCAAAUUAUAGGGAAGAAAACUUUUUAAAACUCUUCUGUUUACAUUGUAAAAUCAGAUAUUUCACAUGUAAGAGCUGUUUUGAAACUGUCUUUUUCAUGAUCCCAAAGAAAACUCUGAAGUGGGCUGAGGUGAUCCAUGGUUGGUCUCCAUGUGGUAUGGAAAAAAACACAUUUUAUUUUCUUACCAUGUUUUCUUUAAACCAAUAGCUCUGCCAAGCUCUCUUCCAAUUUAAUAAACAUGCAGGUGCUAACUA
Molecule: long non-coding RNA, 3341 nt
Organism: Rhea pennata
Lineage: Eukaryota; Metazoa; Chordata; Aves; Rheiformes; Rheidae
Exons: 2
Source: RefSeq, a predicted model, not a curated record